GAUGAACGCUGGCGGCGUGCUUAACACAUGCAAGUCGAACGGGAAUUCUUUUAUUGAAACUUCGGUCGAUUUCAUUUAAUUCUAGUGGCGGACGGGUGAGUAACGCGUGGGUAACCUGCCUUAUACAGGGGGAUAACAGUCAGAAGUGGCUGCUAAUACCGCAUAAGCGCACAGAGCUGCAUGGCUCAGUGUGAAAAACUCCGGUGGUAUAAGAUGGACCCGCGUUGGAUUAGCUGGUUGGUGGGGUAACGGCCCACCAAGGCGACGAUCCAUAGCCGGCCUGAGAGGGUGAACGGCCACAUUGGGACUGAGACACGGCCCAGACUCCUACGGGAGGCAGCAGUGGGGAAUAUUGCACAAUGGGGGAAACCCUGAUGCAGCGACGCCGCGUGAAGGAAGAAGUAUCUCGGUAUGUAAACUUCUAUCAGCAGGGAAGAUAGUGACGGUACCUGACUAAGAAGCCCCGGCUAACUACGUG
RNAcentral lists this ribosomal RNA (478 nucleotides) under uncultured bacterium. Its description in RNAcentral is "partial 16S ribosomal RNA". It matches the Rfam family "Bacterial small subunit ribosomal RNA", at positions 28 to 507 of the family's 1533-position model. The record is from RNAcentral.